This 546-nucleotide ribosomal RNA is filed under the name Triticum aestivum (bread wheat). RNAcentral describes it as "partial small subunit ribosomal RNA". Lineage: Eukaryota; Viridiplantae; Streptophyta; Magnoliopsida; Poales; Poaceae. The record is from RNAcentral.
AUGUUUGUGCUCACGACGAUUGCCACCUACCAUCUCACACCGCUUGAUUUGCCUGUUGAAGUGAAGAAGAAAAUUGACAGUAUCCGGCGGGCGUAUCUUUGGACUAGUUGUGACAAGAUCUCGGGAGGCAAGUGCAAGGUAAACUGGAAGAUGGUGUGCAAGCCCAAACUAUAUGGCGGACUGGGUAUUCUCAACCUUGAGAAGUUUGCUUCGGCGCUCCGCCUACGGUGGCUUUGGUAUGAAUGGGCUGACCCCCCCCCCAGGACGUGGCUUGGCCUAGGAUCCCCAUGCACCACCAAGGAUCGUGAUUUGUUUGCUGCUGCUACAAGAGUAACUGAUGGGGACAGAAACACGGCCAAGCAAGGUUGUCAAAAUCGCGAUUCUGUUAUACGAUUCUAUGACUUUACGGUCCAAACUAACCCCUCUAAUUCUAUGAUUUGGGGCCCUAAACUCUACGUUUCUACGAUCCUAAUAGUGAAAAUUCUACUAUUUGCGAUUCUACCAUCGGAGCUCCGAUCCGAUUCUGACAACCUUGGCAAGUUUUAG